GAUGAACGCUAGCGGCAGGCCUAAUACAUGCAAGUCAAGGGGGCAGCAAUGUCACCGGCGUACGGGUGCGUAACGCGUACAGAACGUGCCCUUGGGUGGGGGAUAGCAUUGGGAAACUGGUGGUAAGACCCCAUGGUGUUGGACUUUGGCAUCAAAGACCAACUAAAGGCAACGCCCAAGGAUCGCUGUGCGUCUGAUUAGGUAGUUGGUAGGGUAACGGCCUACCAAGCCUACGAUCAGUAGGGGGUGUGAGAGCAUGACCCCCCACAUGGGUACUGAGACACGGACCCAACUCCUACGGGAGGCAGCAGUAAGGAAUAUUGGACAAUGGACGGAAGUCUGAUCCAGCCAUGCCGCGUGAAGGAAGAAGGCGCUCAGCGUUGUAAACUUCUUUUGGACGGGGACAAACCUGUGGAUUUAUCCGCAGCUGAGGGUACCGUCAGAAUAAGCACCGGCUAACUCCGUG
Molecule: ribosomal RNA, 466 nt
Filed under: uncultured organism
Description: bacterial SSU rRNA
Rfam family: Bacterial small subunit ribosomal RNA
Source: RNAcentral